Molecule: long non-coding RNA, 809 nt
Organism: Cyprinodon tularosa
Lineage: Eukaryota; Metazoa; Chordata; Actinopteri; Cyprinodontiformes; Cyprinodontidae
Exons: 3
Source: RefSeq, a predicted model, not a curated record
CUCCACAGGUGUUCCUGGUUGACUGAUUGGGGCUCGCACACCAGCGGGUUGUUUCUGCAGCACCGGGGUGCUCUAUAAGAACUGCGUUCAGACAGCGGAAGGACGCCUGAGUGUUACCGUAGUGGUGCCUCCCUCGUGUUCUGAUUCCUCUCAUGGUGGACUCCUCUGAGUGGUACCCCCGGUUCCUUCCGAGUCGGUUCCCCUCACUGGUCCCCCCACCCUCACGGACCUCCUUCAGGUUUCCCCCGCUGUUCUGGUUGCUUGGAUCUCCCCGGUGCUGCUCGGACCCUCUCUGGCUUCAGCUCUCAGGUCACCUGGACGAUCGCCUUCUCCUCCACCUGGCCAGCUUUAAGUCCAACCCGCCUUCUCCCCGGUCCGGCUCUCCCCGCUCUGAGACGUUCCUUGGUUCCGGCUCCCUGUGCUGAGCUUCGGUCUGCGGUUGCAGAAUCCCCUUUCGUUCUGUUUUUUUUCCAAUAAAAACCCUCAAAGAUCUGCCUGUUUCCGAGUGUGUUCAGCAUGUGGGCCAAACACGUCAAGCCAAACAUGACAGAAGAACACUCAGGCCAGUCAGACCCAGCGAGUACACUCGGAAACGCUGUAACAGCUCAACAGGAUCAGAUUCGAGGUUUAGAAGCUUCUGUUUUUGGUUUACAGGAUCAGUUACAGGGCUUAGCUGCCCAGAUGAGCCAGCUGGUUAGCAUGUUUAAUGCUAGUCUGCAGCCAGCAGCUUCCGCGUCCCCUGACCCCUCCCCCGAGGCCGCGUCAGUCAUGACGUCACCGGACGUCCCCGAGUACUCCUCCCCCACUCC